RNAcentral lists this long non-coding RNA (1427 nucleotides) under Salmo salar (Atlantic salmon). Its description in RNAcentral is "lncRNA (ENSSSAG00000105837.1)". Lineage: Eukaryota; Metazoa; Chordata; Actinopteri; Salmoniformes; Salmonidae. The record is from RNAcentral.
UCCUGUCACCAUGUCAGCCUGUCUGUGUCCUGUCACCAUGUCAACCUGUCUGUGUCCUGUCACCAUGUCAGCCUGUCUGUGUCCCUGUCACCAUGUUAGCCUGUCUGUGUCCCUGUCACCCUGUCAGCCUGUCUGUGUCUCUGUCAGCCUGUCUGUGUCCCUGUCACCAUGUCAGCCUGUGUCCCUGUCACCAUGUUAGCCUGUCUGUGUCCCUGCCACCAUGUCAGCCUGUCUAUGUCCCUGUCACCAUGUCAGCCUGCGUCCCUGUCACCCUGUCAACCUGUCUGUGUCCUGUCAUGACACUCUCUGACUCCCCAGAAAUAUUGACAUUCAUAGUUAAUUCAAUCUUCCUUUCAUUGAACCCACUCAAGUCCCGUCUCAGAACCCACCAUCACAGCAGCUAGACACACCAUAGAAGACCCCGUGGUGCAACCGAAGGGGCCCCACACACUCUAUAUAUAAAUCAUCAACCUCUAAACUCUGUCAGAAAGCCGGGCCUGGGAAAGAAUCCCGGUCAGGUUAUGGAAUGAUAUCCGAUCCGGCCAGAGAGAGAGAGCAACGGAGGGUUUAAAGGGUUUAUGCAGUGAGCUCUGGGAUAGAAGGGAAAAGGUAGGUCUCUUCCUGGUCUCUCUCCCAGUCUCUCCCAGUCUCUCCUGGUCUCUUCAACUCUCUUCCAGCCUUUUCCAGUCUUUCCUGAUGUCUCUCGCCUAGUCUCUCUCCCAGUCUCUCUCCCAGUCUCUCUCCAGUCUCUCUCCACUCUGAAGCCGAUUGUCCUGGCUGGGUUAAUUGGGAUUUCCCCCGAUGGGAGUGCCGGAGCGUGGAAAGGAAAGUUUCGGCUCAGCGGUCCAAGGAAAACAAGGCUUGGAUGUGGAUGUGCACCACGGGUAGUUAGGAAUGGGAACAACAUCGCAAUAAAGGAAAAUAAAUAAGAUGGGGGAGGAGGAGGAGAGUAAGAAGGGAGGGGUGAAGGAGGAGGGGAGAGUGGGGGAUACGCAAUUGCAGGAUAAAUUAAGUGGCUGAGUCCCAACACUAGACACCAGACACACAGACACCAGACAUACAGAGGAAAACCUGCAACCCCCUUCUAACCCUGCUCAUUGUGAGCUACAAGGGGGGUAUAAGGGACAGAGAAGGCAGGAGGGAGAUAGAGGGGGCUGUCUCUCUAUCUAUCUGUCUGACAGUCUGGUUUUAAUGGAAAAAGGAAUAGAUUCCCUCCUCCUUCAUAAAGGGUGAUCCUCAUGAGGAACUCAAUGACCAGGGCUUUGAAAGUGUUGAACCGACAGACAGACAGCAAAUCCCCCAACGCUUUCAACUCUGAGAAGAGGGGGAUUGUGAGUAGAUGGAGGGUUAUAAGGGGUGCUGAGGGGGGAUUGAUGGGUGGAUGGGGAGUUAUAAGGGGUGCUGAGGGGGGAUUAGGGGAGGAUGGG